Molecule: ribosomal RNA, 465 nt
Filed under: uncultured Neisseria sp.
Lineage: Bacteria; Pseudomonadati; Pseudomonadota; Betaproteobacteria; Neisseriales; Neisseriaceae
Description: bacterial SSU rRNA
Rfam family: Bacterial small subunit ribosomal RNA
Source: RNAcentral
CCUACGGGAGGCAGCAGUGGGGAAUUUUGGACAAUGGGCGCAAGCCUGAUCCAGCCAUGCCGCGUGUCUGAAGAAGGCCUUCGGGUUGUAAAGGACUUUUGUCAGGGAAGAAAAGGGGCAUGUUAAUACCGUGCUCUGAUGACGGUACCUGAAGAAUAAGCACCGGCUAACUACGUGCCAGCAGCCGCGGUAAUACGUAGGGUGCGAGCGUUAAUCGGAAUUACUGGGCGUAAAGCGGGCGCAGACGGUUACUUAAGCGGGAUGUGAAAUCCCCGGGCUCAACCCGGGAACUGCGUUCCGAACUGGGUGGCUAGAGUGUGUCAGAGGGGGGUAGAAUUCCACGUGUAGCAGUGAAAUGCGUAGAGAUGUGGAGGAAUACCGAUGGCGAAGGCAGCCCCCUGGGAUAACACUGACGUUCAUGCCCGAAAGCGUGGGUAGCAAACAGGAUUAGAUACCCGAGUAGUC